CCUACGGGUGGCUGCAGUGGGGGAUAUUGCACAAUGGGGGGAACCCUGAUGCAGCGACGCCGCGUGUGGGAAGACGGUCCUCUGGAUUGUAAACCACUGUCCCCAGGGACGAAAAUGACGGUACCGGGGGAGGAAGCGCCGGCUAACUACGUGCCAGCAGCCGCGGUAAUACGUCGGGAGCGAGCGUUGUCCGGAAGUACUGGGGGUCAAGGGAGCGUAGGCGGGGAGGCAAGUUGGGUGUCAAAACGACCGGCUCAACUGGUAGUCGCACUCAAAACUGCCGCUCUUGAGUGCAGUAGAGGCAGGCGGACUUCCUAGUGUAGCGGUGCAAUGCGUCGAUAUUAGGAGGAACACCAGUGGCGACGGCGGCCUGCUGGGCUUUUCCUGACGCUGAGGCUCGCAAGUGUGGGGAGCAAACAGGAUUAGCUACCCCAGUAGUC
This 440-nucleotide ribosomal RNA is filed under the name uncultured bacterium. RNAcentral's name for it is "partial 16S ribosomal RNA". It matches the Rfam family "Bacterial small subunit ribosomal RNA", at positions 338 to 795 of the family's 1533-position model. The record is from RNAcentral.